RNA transcript from Piliocolobus tephrosceles (Ugandan red Colobus), 567 nucleotides. RefSeq lists it as uncharacterized. Lineage: Eukaryota; Metazoa; Chordata; Mammalia; Primates; Cercopithecidae. The transcript is spliced from 2 exons. The record is from RefSeq and is a predicted model, not a curated record.
CUGUGGUUACGUUAAUGCCCAGCCAGCCACCCCCGCCACUCACCCCUCCUGGCCCAGGCCUUGCUGACUCUGUGAUCUGGGGAGGUGGGAGGCCAGGCGAGCCUGACUCGAUCCGCCCACCUCAGCCUCCCAAAGUGCUGGGAUUACAGGCAUGAGCCACCACGCAUGGCCAACUCUCUCCCAUUUUAACACACUACUUUCUGACUACAAAAGUGGCAUGUACAAUGGGAAAUGUCAGAAUUAAAUACCCCAGGAAGACACUCAAAAGCCUCUGUGAUGCUCCCUCUGGUCCUGGUCCUGCGGUGUCGGCCUCUGGUCUCCCUCCUGGUGCGGCAUCCUUACCACUGCAGUAACUGGGAAGAAACGUUCCCCAUGCAUUGCUCUAAAUCCUGCUGGAUCUGGUUUUGGGGGUGCUGGGCUGCUGCCCAGGAGACUGGAAGGGGAGGAAGGCAUGUGCCCCUGAGGGCUUCGAAAGCACUCUGUGCCGUGAGGAUCCCACCUCCUGUGCUCCCAGAAAGUGGCUGGUAUUUUUCUGCUCCAGCAGGGAGCCCAGGUGAGGUUCUCUAG